This 107-nucleotide small RNA is filed under the name Marmota monax (woodchuck). The record is from RNAcentral. Lineage: Eukaryota; Metazoa; Chordata; Mammalia; Rodentia; Sciuridae.
GCAGGGUGCAGUGGUGCACACCUGUAAUCUCAAUGACUCGGGAGGCUGAGGUGGGAGGAUCUCAAGUUUGAGGCCAGCCUCAGCAAUUUAGUGAUACCCUAUCUCAA